RNAcentral lists this ribosomal RNA (259 nucleotides) under uncultured bacterium. RNAcentral's name for it is "partial 16S ribosomal RNA". It matches the Rfam family "Bacterial small subunit ribosomal RNA", at positions 524 to 776 of the family's 1533-position model. The record is from RNAcentral.
UACGUAGGGGGGCAAGCGUUAUCCGGAAUCAUUGGGCGUAAAAGCGCGUGUAGGGCGGUUCCGUAAAGUCCGCUCUGAAAAGCCCCAGGGCUCAACCCUGGGAGGCGGGUGGAUACUACGGAACUGGAGUACGGAAGAGGAGAUUGGAAUUCCUGGUGUAGCGGUGAAAUGCGCAGAUAUCAGGAGGAACACCAACAGCGAAGGCAGAUCUCUGGGACGUUACUGACGCUGAGACGCGAAAGCGUGGGGAGCAAACAGG